GACGAACGCUGGCGGCGUGCCUAAUACAUGCAAGUAGAACGCACAGUUUAUACCUUAGCUUGCUACACCAUAGACUGUGAGUUGCGAACGGGUGAGUAACGCGUAGGUAACCUGCCUGGUAGCGGGGGAUAACUAUUGGAAACGAUAGCUAAUACCGCAUAAUAUUGAUUAUUGCAUGAUAAUUGAUUGAAAGAUGCUAUUGCAUCACUACCAGAUGGACCUGCGUUGUAUUAGCUAGUAGGUGAGGUAACGGCUCACCUAGGCGACGAUACAUAGCCGACCUGAGAGGGUGAUCGGCCACACUGGGACUGAGACACGGCCCAGACUCCUACGGGAGGCAGCAGUAGGGAAUCUUCGGCAAUGGACGAAAGUCUGACCGAGCAACGCCGCGUGAGUGAAGAAGGGUUUCGGAUCGUAAAGCUCUGUUGUAAGAGAAGAACGGGUGUGAGAGUGGAAAGUUCACACUGUGACGGUAUCUUACCAGAAAGGGACGGCUAACUACGUG
This 505-nucleotide ribosomal RNA is filed under the name uncultured bacterium. Its description in RNAcentral is "partial 16S ribosomal RNA". It matches the Rfam family "Bacterial small subunit ribosomal RNA", at positions 28 to 507 of the family's 1533-position model. The record is from RNAcentral.